CACGGGAGCAAUCCUGGUGGCGAGUGGCGAACGGGUGAGUAAUACAUCGGAACGUGUCCUGGAGUGGGGGAUAGCCCGGCGAAAGCCGGAUUAAUACCGCAUACGCUCUGAGGAGGAAAGCGGGGGAUCUUUCGGGACCUCGCGCUCAAGGGGCGGCCGAUGGCAGAUUAGCUAGUUGGUGGGGUAAAGGCCUACCAAGGCGACGAUCUGUAGCUGGUCUGAGAGGACGACCAGCCACACUGGGACUGAGACACGGCCCAGACUCCUACGGGAGGCAGCAGUGGGGAAUUUUGGACAAUGGGCGCAAGCCUGAUCCAGCAAUGCCGCGUGUGUGAAGAAGGCCUUCGGG
This 349-nucleotide ribosomal RNA is filed under the name uncultured bacterium. Its description in RNAcentral is "bacterial SSU rRNA". It matches the Rfam family "Bacterial small subunit ribosomal RNA", at positions 72 to 422 of the family's 1533-position model. The record is from RNAcentral.